CAGACACUGAAAACUAAGAAGAAGAAGAAGAAGCGGCGGCAGAAGAAGAGAAACAGUUCCAUGAGAAACACAAACCAUUAGAAUUCCUAAUAAGAACUUAAUAUGGAGUCAUCAGAGGUCCAACCAUGCUGUCAUAGAAAACCUUCAUACACUUCUGCUCCUGUUUGCUCAAAGGAUUGUUCUAGUGUACAAACGGACAUGUGUACAGUGUCUGGUGGAGAAACAUCAGUCGCAGAGGGUCACAACCUUCCGGAAGAUAUAAAACAGGAAGAGCCUGCAAAUGAAGAGUACUUUUGUAAGUCUACAUGAUACAAUUCAAUUGUGUUUGAUGAUCAGUCAUUAUUUCUAGUUUAACAUUGUUUACUUUACAUUUAUUAAGAAUUUGAUGAAAUCAAUGACAUUU
Long non-coding RNA from Clarias gariepinus (North African catfish), 403 nucleotides. RefSeq lists it as uncharacterized. Lineage: Eukaryota; Metazoa; Chordata; Actinopteri; Siluriformes; Clariidae. The record is from RefSeq and is a predicted model, not a curated record. The transcript is spliced from 3 exons.